Long non-coding RNA from Pollicipes pollicipes, 212 nucleotides. RefSeq lists it as uncharacterized. The record is from RefSeq and is a predicted model, not a curated record. Lineage: Eukaryota; Metazoa; Arthropoda; Thecostraca; Pollicipedomorpha; Pollicipedidae. The transcript has 3 exons.
CAACUUCGACAUCGAGCCCAGGUUCAUCCAGACGUCGGACAACUCGCUGACCAUCACCAAGACGACCGAGCUCGACUCCAAGGUGUACACGUGCGUGGCGUCCACCGAGCUGGACGAGGCGCGGGACGACGCCACGCUCAAGGUGGAGGACGUGCCUAACGCGCCGACGCUGAAGACCGUCGCUUGCAGGGAGCAGGUGGCCGAAGUGGGGG